RNAcentral lists this long non-coding RNA (937 nucleotides) under Musa acuminata (dwarf banana). RNAcentral describes it as "long non-coding RNA (MACU_LNC001535)". The record is from RNAcentral. Lineage: Eukaryota; Viridiplantae; Streptophyta; Magnoliopsida; Zingiberales; Musaceae.
GUCACACUCUGGUAAUAAAAUGAAACACAUCUCCAUUUUAUUCCAAGCAACAUGGGUGGCAGGCACUACAAUUGCACUGUCCACUAUGAAUCUUAUCGAAGCAGCUUCUGCAGAAUUAACAGUUUUGCCUCAGUGGAUACUAUCAGAUGAUUGAAACAUACAUUUUCAUGUGUUCUCAACGGAUACAAGAAGUACAUUCAAAAGAUCGGAUCAAACGAUCGAUGCAUCAUGUAAAUGUGGAAUAGUCUUUUACAGAAUCAGUAGACAAUUUGUGGCUCGAAAUCAGCGAAGUCAACAGAUCCAGACUCAACAGGCGGCAUGAGGUAGGCGGCCACAAGCUCAGAGACCAAUGCAGCAAUGAGAGGUAUCCUCUUCAAGUUCUUCACCACAGCAAUCUCCUGGCUCUCUCCUACAGCAAUCAGCUUCUGGUUGAUCUCCACCAUUGUGUCCAGCUUCCUCUUGAACUCAGGGUUCUCAACAUCCAACACAGCUGGGAAAAUCCUCGCUGUUGUGCGGUUUGUCUGAGACAAAAAGGACAUGGCAUUGUCGAAUUCAGGAUUACAAGAGAACUCCGGCAUAUCAUAUAAUUCAGGAAGAUGAAAUGGAUCGAUCGGUUACCUCGAUGAUGACAUGCAUGUCGAAUUCUUUGGUGUCGAGACCGAUCCCUUCGUAGAAAGCCGUUCGCUGGCAAUCAUUUAGGUACAUGGUUACAUAGACCUGCCAUUGUUUGAGGCAUAGAUUUGUUGUCAUAGCUGUCUUAUGGUGGUCGCGCAAACAAUCGAGAGGAUAUUACCGAGAGGCAGAAGAAUCGUGACCACAGUUUGGCCUUCCAGUCAUUGAGGAACUGCGGCUGAGCUUUGAGCAAAGCAGAGAAGAAGUCUCCAUGCCUGUUCUCAUCCUGGCACCAGUUCUCGAAGUACUUGAAGAUGGGAUAGAC